RNAcentral lists this ribosomal RNA (1045 nucleotides) under marine metagenome. RNAcentral's name for it is "bacterial SSU rRNA". It matches the Rfam family "Bacterial small subunit ribosomal RNA", at positions 8 to 1038 of the family's 1533-position model. The record is from RNAcentral.
AGAGUUUGAUCCUGGCUCAGGACGAACGCUGGCGGCGUGCUUAACACAUGCAAGUCUAAGGAGAAAGUUCCUUCGGGAGCAAGUAAACUGGCGAACGGGUGAGUAACGCGUAGGUAACCUACCCUUAAGCUCGGGAUAACCCACCGAAAGGUGAGCUAAUACCGGAUAAUAUCUUUCCUCAUAAGGGGUAAAGAUCAAAGGUGGCUUCGGCUAUCACUUAUGGAUGGGCCUGCGUCUGAUUAGCUAGUUGGUAAGGUAAUGGCUUACCAAAGCAAUGAUCAGUAGCUGGUCUGAGAGGGCGAUCAGCCACAUUGGGACUGAGAUACGGCCCAGACUCCUACGGGAGGCAGCAGUGGGGAAUUUUGCGCAAUGAGCGAAAGCUUGACGCAGCAACGCCGCGUGAUCGAAGAAGCUCUGCGGAGUGUAAAGAUCUGUCAUAGGGGAAGAAAAAUUCCGUUAUUAACACCAUCGGAACGUGACGGUACCCUAUAAGAAAGCCCCGGCUAACUUCGUGCCAGCAGCCGCGGUAAUACGAGGGGGGCAAGCGUUGUCCGGAUUUAUUGGGCGUAAAGAGUUCGUAGGCUGGUUGGUCAGUCGAAAUUGAAAUCCCACGGCUUAACCGUGGUUCCGGUUUUGAUACUGCCAAUCUUGAGUGAGGUAGAGGUAAGCGGAAUUCCUGGUGUAGCGGUGAAAUGCGUAGAUAUCAGGAGGAACACCAAAGGCGAAGGCAGCUUACUGGACCUAUACUGACGCUGAGGAACGAAAGCGUGGGGAGCGAACAGGAUUAGAGACCCUGGUAGUCCACGCCGUAAACGAUGAGUACUUGGUGGUGGGGGAUUCGACCCCUUCACUGUCGGAGCUAACGCGUUAAGUACUCCGCCUGGGGACUACGACCGCAAGGUUGAAACUCAAAGGAAUUGACGGGGACCCGCACAAGCGGUGGAUUAUGUGGUUUAAUUCGAUGCAACGCGAAGAACCUUACCUGGGCUUGACAUGUAGGUGAAAGUUCUGUGAAAGCAGAACCCUCUGCGAGCUUGCUCAAAGA